GGGGAAUCUUCCGCAAUGGGCGAAAGCCUGACGGAGCAACGCCGCGUGAACGAUGAAGGUCUUAGGAUCGUAAAGUUCUGUUGUUAGGGACGAAGGGUAAGAAUCAUAAUAAGGUUUUUAUUUGACGGUACCUAACGAGGAAGCCAGGGCUCACUACGUGCCAGCAGCCGCGGUAAUACGUAGGCGGCAAGCGUUGUCCGGAUUUAUUGGGCGUAAAGCGAGCGCAGGCGGAAGAAUAAGUCUGAUGUGAAAGCCCUCGGCUUAACCGAGGAACUGCAUCGGAAACUGUUUUUCUUGAGUGCAGAAGAGGAGAGUGGAACUCCAUGUGUAGCGGUGGAAUGCGUAGAUAUAUGGAAGAACACCAGUGGCGAAGGCGGCUCUCUGGUCUGCAACUGACGCUGAGGCUCGAAAGCAUGGGUAGCGAACA
This 427-nucleotide ribosomal RNA is filed under the name uncultured Bacillota bacterium. Its description in RNAcentral is "bacterial SSU rRNA". It matches the Rfam family "Bacterial small subunit ribosomal RNA", at positions 356 to 774 of the family's 1533-position model. The record is from RNAcentral. Lineage: Bacteria; Bacillati; Bacillota.